AAAUUGUCAAACUCACCCCAACAUAUGUUGUGAGUGCACCCACGAGAUCCCCAAUCUAAAACCCCUCAAAAACCUUUUUUCUGAACGAAUGGCUAUAUUAUCACCUCCUCUGCUUCUUCCGCUUCCCCUCUCAUCUCCCCCAAAACCCCACCGUUUCGCGUCCUUCAAGCUCGCCGGCAAUUCCACCAAUGGAGCUCUUCUCGGAGUACAGCUCGCAAAACGGCACCGUCUCGUGUUUGCCAAAGCCGCCUCCUCUGUCUACGCCAUCAGAGAAGAGCUCGACGCUGUCAAUAUCGCCGAGGACGUCACGCAGUUGAUCGGGAGCACACCCAUGGUAUACCUCAACAAAGUUAGCGAAGGUUGUGUGGCAAAUAUUGCAGCAAAGCUUGAAUCUAUGGAACCGUGCCGAAGUGUCAAGGAUAGAAUUGGCUGUAGCAUGAUAUCUAAAGCUGAGAAAAGUGGGUUUAUAUCUCCUGGGAAGACUGUAUUAGUUGAACCAACUAGUGGAAAUACAGGACUUGGUAUUGCUUUUGUUGCUGCAACUAAAGGGUAUAAACUUAUAGUCACCAUGCCGGCGUCCAUAGAUAUUGAAAGAAGGAUUCUUUUACGGGCAUUCGGGGCAGAGGUUGUUUUGACGGAUCCAGAAAAGGGUUUGAAAGGAGCGUUAGAUAAAGCUGGGGAAAUUGUUCUUAACACACCAAAUUCAUAUAUGCUUCAACAGUUUGAUAAUGCUGCGAAUGCAGAGAUCCAUUUUGAUACUACUGGGCCAGAAAUAUGGGAGGAUACCAUUGGUAAUGUUGACAUAUUUGUUGCUGCUAUUGGAACUGGUGGUACUGUUACAGGCACUGGCCGUUACCUGAAAAUGAUGAACAAGGAGAUAAAGGUAGUGGGUGUGGAACCUGCAGAGAGGAGUGUAAUAUCUGGAGAAAAUCCAGGUUAUUUACCAAGCAUUUUGGACGUUAAUUUACUUGAUGAGGUCAUCAAGGUUACCAACGAUGAAGCUGUUGAAAUGGCAAGGAGGCUAGCAUUGGAGGAAGGCUUGCUGGUUGGUAUCUCAUCAGGUGCUGCUGCGGCUGCUGCAAUAAGUUUAGCAAGAAGACCUGAGAACAUUGGAAAACUUAUUGCGGUUAUAUUUCCAAGCUUUGGUGAGAGGUAUAUUCCCACUGUACUUUUCCAAUCAAUUUACGAAGAGGUUCAGAAGAUGCGGGGAAAGUAAUCAUAUUAUUCUGGAUGACAUAAACAUGUCAUCGUAAAGAUUGACUACCUUACAAAUCAAUCAAACAGAACCAAACAUGUUUCCGAGAAGGUAAUAGAUUUGACCUGUUACAUCUGUGUCAUAUGAAUGCUGUUGUGAUUCACUGAUGGCAGACUAAUCCAGGUUAGGUUUUAAAGGAAUGCAGAGAGUAGUUGAUCAAUGAAAAAUUGGAAAAAUUGAGGUUAAAAUUUGGUGUGUUUCUAUUGGAACACAUUUCAUGUUUAAUGAUUAGCACAACACUUGCUUUCUUUCCAUUGGCACGCUUGUGGAGAUUCUUUGGAGAAGAUGUCAUGCAAUCUACAUAAAGGAAGGAGAAAAGAAACAACGGAAGGACAUAGAGGAAAGAGGAAGAAGAAAAGAGAGGAAGAAGAAGAAGGAAAAAAAAAAAAAAAGAACAACUCCAAUAAAAAGCCAUCCUCCCUUUCAUAUUAUCCAAUUACCUUUCUUUUACAUAUUGUUAAGGCUUUAAGCCAUCUUUCAUUGUAUUUGUAAGUCCCUCAUAUAUAGUGAAAUACAAUGAAAGCAAACCGCAGUGGAUGUAGUCAAUUUGGCGAACCACUUAAAUCUUGUGUAUUUAUGCAUUUACAUUUUGAGAUC
Malus domestica (apple) is the source of this 1852-nucleotide non-coding RNA. NCBI's taxonomy places the organism in Eukaryota, Viridiplantae, Streptophyta, Magnoliopsida, Rosales, Rosaceae. The record is from RefSeq and is a predicted model, not a curated record.